Diabrotica virgifera virgifera (western corn rootworm) is the source of this 535-nucleotide long non-coding RNA. RefSeq lists it as uncharacterized. The record is from RefSeq and is a predicted model, not a curated record. The transcript is spliced from 2 exons. NCBI's taxonomy places the organism in Eukaryota, Metazoa, Arthropoda, Insecta, Coleoptera, Chrysomelidae.
GGAACAUUCUACGCCUCUGUUGGUGAAUUUAAUUCGUGUUCCGUGGUCGUUGACGUUCUGAUCGUUCUGAAAAUUUGACAAAGCGAUCUUCCGUUUUCCGUUACUUGGCUGUGAAGUGUGCUAGGAUUCGGUCGACGAACUUGGUUCCAUAAUGGCGGAAGGUUUCAUUUCUUAAGCCAUUCUAUUUGGAAAAAAAAAUGCAGUCCCACUGAAGUAAAAAUGGUAUCCCGUGGUUUUCCCAGAAUCCAUCCAGAGUUUCUAGAGGGACAGUAAAUGAACAACUGACCUAUCCGCCAUUUGGGGAGAAAUAUUAGAACCUACCAUGUAAAUCCUUCAACCACCUGGAAGGCGUCGAUUCCAGCCACGACCACAGCCAAGUCACUAUUGGGGUUUUGGGAACAAGCUUUUUGGGGGACAUUCCAGCUCCUUUUCGUCCUGCCACCUGGGCCUACGGGGGGCAUGGAGGCGCAUCAUCGUGAUGCUCAUUUUCUAGGAUGCAACCGCAAUCUCAUUUGGGAACAUUUAGUGUUGUGCA